Molecule: ribosomal RNA, 613 nt
Filed under: uncultured bacterium
Lineage: Bacteria
Description: bacterial SSU rRNA
Rfam family: Bacterial small subunit ribosomal RNA
Source: RNAcentral
CCUACGGGAGGCAGCAGUAAGGAAUAUUGGUCAAUGGAGGGAACCCUGAACCAGCCAUGCCGCGUGCAGGAAGACGGCCCUAUGGGUUGUAAACUGCUUUUGCAAGGGAAUAAACCUCCGAAUGCGUUCGGAGCUGAAUGUACUUUGCGAAUAAGGAUCGGCUAACUCCGUGCCAGCAGCCGCGGUAAUACGGAGGAUCCAAGCGUUAUCCGGAUUUAUUGGGUUUAAAGGGUGCGUAGGCGGUUUAUUAAGUCAGUGGUGAAAGUCAGCAGCUUAACUGUUGAAUUGCCAUCGAUACUGAUGAACUUGAGUACAGAUGAAGUGGGCGGAAUGAGUCAAGUAGCGGUGAAAUGCAUAGAUAUGACUCAGAACACCAAUUGCGAAGGCAGCUCACUAAGGUGUAACUGACGCUGAGGCACGAAAGCGUGGGGAUCAAACAGGAUUAGAUACCCUGGUAGUCCACGCCCUAAACGAUGAUUACUCGAUGUCGGCGAUAUACAGUCGGCGUCUAAGCGAAAGCGCUAAGUAAUCCACCUGGGGAGUACGUUCGCAAGGAUGAAACUCAAAUGAAUUGACGGNGUUGAGNGNGCGAGGACGACGACGAGGGAGGAGG